UUGGACUGUUACAGAGAGCUGGAAACAAGCAUUCCCAGCAUGAGGGCUGGCACAGAAUUCUCCCUGGAAGGUCCCUUAACCUUUGGAAAAAUUCUAGAGAAUCACAAUUUCUUCCACCACAUAACAGGUAGGAGGGAGGAACAGCCUUGGAACCAGGCAGGGAGAGCACAGGAAUGUUCUGAACCUUCUCUGAAGGCUGGCACCUUUGGCAUCCCUUCUGAAUCUCCUCGAGGGAUAGCUGUGUUUGAAGCACAGACCCACUUCCAGUGCAGCAACUGACUCCAUUCUCAGCUGUGUCUGGCCAGGCCACAGCUCUUCAUUCCUCCCUUCACCUUCCUAGCCCAGAAUAGAAAAAUGCCCCCUGCAUUCCUAAGUGGCAGACAGGUGAUUCCUGCAGGUGCAGGACAGGUGGAUCGAUGCCUGGAGCAGGCCUGGCUGGGGAACAGUGGAGCUGCUGGGACUGCAUCCAGCCUCCCUGCUGACUGCUGAGGGGCAUCUGAUGGAAAACACAUCCCCAUGGCCACAGCUGACACUGCCCCUGCUCAUCACUGACUAAAUAUGCAGGAGAAUCAGCAGGUAAUGUGAGGAGACUCUCUGAAGCAGAGAUUCUGACACCAGAAGUGAUGGCCAGCCUCCAGUUCA
This is a long non-coding RNA of Melospiza melodia melodia, 642 nucleotides long. RefSeq lists it as uncharacterized. The record is from RefSeq and is a predicted model, not a curated record. Lineage: Eukaryota; Metazoa; Chordata; Aves; Passeriformes; Passerellidae. The transcript has 3 exons.